CCAGGACAUACUUUAUUCAGCUGGGUGCUGAAAAAGAAUCUUGGAAAUUAGGAAACUGAAUGAGGCCUCAUUUCACACUCAGAAUGUGGGUUGCAAUAGUCACUUCCUCUGCUGCUGGGAAAGAAAGAAUUAUACUACCUUUUGAAUUUUGGAUUAAGGAGAGAGGUGUUGGCUUGUCAAACUACCAUGUAUUCCUCAAGACAUAUUUUUGUGGCUUUAUAAAAUUCAAUAUAUAUUUCUAAAUUCAAAUAUAUUUUGUUGCAAUCUGGCCCUUGGACAAACUGAGGCCCUAGCAACUGAUGUGUAUGGCUUUCCAUAGAACCUUUCAGAUAAAAUUUACACAGCAUUUUACUGCAGCUAUUUCACACAAAGCAGAGGAUUUUGCCACAAAACUGAAAGAAAAAAGAAACUGCAUUCUUAAAUUUUUUAUAAAUCAAAAGGUAUAAAAAUAUCUACCUAAACGAUAAAGGAGAGGAGAAACCCCACCCGUGAUGGGAAGAAAGCCUAUUUCAGUUUUGCUUUUACUUCAAGUUCUUUUUUCCAUAUCUGGAAAGCAAUCGGAAUUUUAAUCUUGCCUUGGGUUCCUCCUGGAUUUGGGGAGAAGAUAAAACCUGAAAAUCUCUAAUCUGCAUGUGUUCAGCUGCGUAUCUUCCGGAUACGGAAGGAUCACACUGCACAGAGUGCUGGACUUGCAGGAGCCCCGCUUCUCAACCUCCAUCGCUUUAUGAAUGAAUUCACCAGAAAGAAAAGGAAGAAUCAACACUUUCAGAGAUGGAGCCUGUUGAGCCACAGUACCAACUAGUCGAUGCUGAAUCCGACUUCUCCCUUUCUACAUUGCCUGAGAGAAGUCACUGGGGAAUACUCUGUACACGGAUUUUCACUGUUGGGGAAAACAGAGAGUCAAGGGAUUGGAUUGUGGAUUGCAUUGGUGGUUUUCCUCAGUUUCCUCAUCUUCUCCACAAGUUUCUACACAUCAAAUGCAGAGCAGCCCUUCUUCAAAGGACCUCCUACAGAAGCUGCUAAGGAACUCAGUCUGUAGCUCUGCGUGGAGCCAUGUGUAAACACUGAACCGAGGCCUGCCACCUCCUACUACCUAAGGGCCCAUUUUCAUCUGAUAUCAUCCCCCAGAAACAAACUCAUGCUGACUUCCAUGUUUUUUUUAGAUUAGAUACAUGGAGAAUUUUCCUUUCCCUUAGAAUUAAAAUCCUGCAUUCUAAUUUUCAGUAAGCUUUUUUAUUUCUGAAUAAUUUUAAAUUUAAAGAGAAGUUGCAAAGAUAGUAUAGAAUGUUCCCUUAUACCUGUUUUUAUUUAGAGUGAUGUUCCCAGGAGAAAUGAUAAUGCAGCAAUGGACAAGAACAGGAACAAGAGACAGUCUUACCAUCUUCUUACAAUUUAUAGAUGGGACAGUGGAAAGAGAAGCCACAUCGGGGUUGGGCAUGCAGAGACCUGGUCCUAAAUCUGUGUGACUUUUGCGAAGUCCUUUUGCCUCACAGAGCUCUAGGUUCUUAUCUGUCAAACAGGAACCAGACCAUCAGAUCCGUAGAGAUCCAGCCAAUGAAGGAGACUUCGAAAACUACACAUUGCCAUGUCAAUGUGAGGUUGCUGGAUGGUUAUGACAAGAAAUCACAUUAAAUUCACUGGGGUAACAUUGUUCAUGAAACAGGAUAAUGUGUUUCAGUGAUGAACCACCCAUGGCCUUACUACAGACAUAUUUCCACUUUGAAAAGGUGUGUGAGUGUACGUGUCUGUGUGUGAGGCAGAGAUUAGAAAGUAUAAGUGUGUGCGUUUUCAUUUUACACAUCUUACAUUUUCCUUUAAUCUGUUUGAAAGCCUGUUUUGUUUGUGGCUUCCAUUCCUGGAAGUCCCAUGAGUUGUUAGUGGUGAAGAUGGAACAGAUGUGUCCAACCCGGGGGACUCCUGCCCUCAGGGACUGAGCAGCUGCAAACCUCUCUCUCAUCUGAUUCCACUGUUUCUUCCACAUGUACACAUCAUGAGAAACAUUGUUCAAUCAUAUCUUCCCUUAAAUCAACUCAUAUGCUUAUUUACAUGAAUUUACCUAAAACAGAAACUUGAUAUCACUUCUGUAAAUGAAAAAAUUAAACUUUCUGGCUUUAAAUAAAGGAUAA
This 2126-nucleotide long non-coding RNA is filed under the name Pan troglodytes (chimpanzee). Its description in RNAcentral is "lincRNA". Lineage: Eukaryota; Metazoa; Chordata; Mammalia; Primates; Hominidae. The record is from RNAcentral.